This is a long non-coding RNA of Panthera uncia (snow leopard), 1598 nucleotides long. RefSeq lists it as uncharacterized. The record is from RefSeq and is a predicted model, not a curated record. The transcript is spliced from 3 exons. NCBI's taxonomy places the organism in Eukaryota, Metazoa, Chordata, Mammalia, Carnivora, Felidae.
CCAGGACGAAGAGCCCACUCUCUUGGCGCGCGAAGUGUUUUUUCGAAGGACCCACUGUUGGUGCCACUCAACCCAGCUUCUGGGAGCGGAGACUCACUCUCCCUGAGAAGUGGACUAUGCUGGUGCCCUCCUCCACCCUCCCCAAUUCCGAAGCUGGAGACUGGUCCUCUCUUCAGUGCUUGGGAGGGUGAUCCAUGCAAGUACCCCAGGCACAGGAAGGUGCUGCCAGGGAAGAGCCUGACCUCAGGAGCCAUCUCUCUGCAGCCGAAGCCAACUGCUGAAACCCAUAGCCUGGGGCUGUCCACUAAACAAACUCCUCCCAGAGAGCUCACAAGCAUGGGAAAGGGACAGAGAGAGAAGGAGACCAUCUCAAGCAGGCUCCACACCCAGAUCAGAGCCCAGGGCUUGAUCUCAUUUCCCUGUGAUCAUGACCUGAGCCAAAAUCAAAAGUUGGAUACACCCAGGCCUCCCUUGUCAGUUUUGAUCUAGACAGCACCUUGGCACAUUUAUUGAUACAUUCCAAGUAAGAGUUGUAAUUUUAUUUGUUUUUUCUCUCUAUCCUUCAUCUCUAUUUCUUUUAAUUUCUACUUUAAUCUUUAUAAUUUCUUUUAUUUUACUUGCUUGGCAUUUAAUUUGCCUUCUUUUGCUAACUUCCUAAGGUGGGAGCUUUGAUCAUUUCUUUUUUCCCAAUAUAAGCACUUUAAGUUAUAAAUUUUCCUCAAUGCUUUAACCGCAUUCCACAAAUUUCAAUAUGUUAUGUUUUCAUUGGGUCUAAACUAUUUUCUCAUUUACCCUGUGAUUUCUUCCUCAACCCAUGGGUUAUUUUCUAGUGAGUCUUGCAAUUUCCAAAUGUUCUUUGCUUUUCUUGGAUAUUUUUGUAGGAUUUCAAUUGCUUGGAGUCUCUUAAGACUUGUUUAUGGCCUGCCAUAUGGUCUGUAUUGCUGAAUGACACAUGUGCGCUUGAAAAACGUGUAUUCUGCAGUCCUUGAAGAUAUUGUUGUAGAAAUGAAUGUGAAUUCAGGUAAAGGAUGCUGUCACUGUGACCUACCAUAUCCUUCAUAGUUUUGUACCUUGUUCUACUGUUUAAAGUCUGCAAUUAUAAUUGUGAAUUUAUUUAUUUCUCCCUUAAUUUUUCAGGUUUUUAUGUAUUUUAAAGCUCUAUGAUUAUAUGUAUAUAUAUUUAAAACUGCUAUAUCUUCCUAAUGAACUGACUCAUUAUUAUGGAGAGUCCCUCUUUGUCUCUAGGAAAACUCUUGGCUAUAAAUCUACUUUGUUUUAACUACACCCUGAACUUUUUUCUCUCUCAGUGGGGCUCUGCCUCUGUUUCUAUCUCUUUCAUUCACUUUUCUUGCAUUUUGUUUUUACACUUCACAAUUAUAAUAAUUAAGAAUCAAUCAGAAAUUAAUGGGCACCUGGGUGGCUCAGUUCAUUAUUAAGCGUCCAACUUUGGCUUCAGUCAUAUCUCAUGGUUCAUGGGUUUGAGCCCCACGUUGGGCUCUCUGCUAUCACCACAAAGCUGUCUUUGGAUCCUCCCUCUCUGCAUCUCCUGCACUCGUUCUCUCUCUCUCUCUCUCUCUCUCUCUCUCUCUCAAAAAUAA